RNAcentral lists this ribosomal RNA (427 nucleotides) under uncultured bacterium. RNAcentral's name for it is "partial 16S ribosomal RNA". It matches the Rfam family "Bacterial small subunit ribosomal RNA", at positions 354 to 796 of the family's 1533-position model. The record is from RNAcentral.
GUGGGGAAUAUUGGGCAAUGGGGGCAACCCUGACCCAGCGACGCCGCGUGGGUGAAGAAAUCCCUCGGGAUGUAAAGCCCUGUUGUAUGGGAAGAGCAGAAGACGGUACCAUACGAGGAAGCCCCGGCAAACUACGUGCCAGCAGCCGCGGUAAUACGUAGGGGGCAAGCGUUGUCCGGAAUUACUGGGCGUAAAGCGCACGCAGGCUGAAUUAUAAGUCGGUAGUCAAAUACGGAGGCUCAACUUCCGGAUAUCUAUCGAUACUGUAAAUCUAGAGUAUGUGAGAGGGAAGCGGGAUUCCCGGUGUAGCGGUGAAAUGCGUAGAUAUCGGGAGGAACACCAGUGGCGAAGGCGGCUUCCUGGCACAAUACUGACGCUCAUGUGCGAAAGCUAGGGCAGCGAACGGGAUUAGAAACCCCAGUAGUCC